UACGAAGGGGGCUAGCGUUGCUCGGAAUUACUGGGCGUAAAGCGCACGUAGGCGGGUUCUUAAGUCGGUGGUGAAAUCCUGGAGCUCAACUCCAGAACUGCCUUCGAAACUGGGAAUCUUGAGUCCGGGAGAGGUGGAGUGGAACUGCGAGUGUAGAGGUGAAAUUCGUAGAUAUUCGCAAGAACACCAGUGGCGAAGGCGGCUCACUGGCCCGGUACUGACGCUGAGGUGCGAAAGCGUGGGGAGCAAACA
RNAcentral lists this ribosomal RNA (252 nucleotides) under uncultured bacterium. RNAcentral's name for it is "partial 16S ribosomal RNA". It matches the Rfam family "Bacterial small subunit ribosomal RNA", at positions 524 to 774 of the family's 1533-position model. The record is from RNAcentral.